GAUGAACGCUGGCGGCGUGCCUAAUACAUGCAAGUCGAACGCAUAGCGAAAGGUGCUUGCACCUUUCACGUGAGUGGCGAACGGGUGAGUAACACGUGGACAACCUGCCUCAAGGCUGGGGAUAACAUUUGGAAACAGAUGCUAAUACCGAAUAAAACUUAGUGUCGCAUGACACAAAGUUAAAAGGCGCUUCGGCGUCACCUAGAGAUGGAUCCGCGGUGCAUUAGUUAGUUGGUGGGGUAAAGGCCUACCAAGACAAUGAUGCAUAGCCGAGUUGAGAGACUGAUCGGCCACAUUGGGACUGAGACACGGCCCAAACUCCUACGGGAGGCUGCAGUAGGGAAUCUUCCACAAUGGGCGAAAGCCUGAUGGAGCAACGCCGCGUGUGUGAUGAAGGCUUUCGGGUCGUAAAGCACUGUUGUAUGGGAAGAACAGCUAGAAUAGGAAAUGAUUUUAGUUUGACGGUACCAGACCAGAAAGGGACGGCUAAAUACGUG
Molecule: ribosomal RNA, 497 nt
Filed under: uncultured bacterium
Lineage: Bacteria
Description: partial 16S ribosomal RNA
Rfam family: Bacterial small subunit ribosomal RNA
Source: RNAcentral